AGAGUUUGAUCAUGGCUCAGAUUGAACGCUGGCGGCAGGCUUAACACAUGCAAGUCGAGCGGGGGAAGGUAGCUUGCUACUGGACCUAGCGGCGGACGGGUGAGUAAUGCUUAGGAAUCUGCCUAUUAGUGGGGGACAACAUCUCGAAAGGGAUGCUAAUACCGCAUACGUCCUACGGGAGAAAGCAGGGGAUCUUCGGACCUUGCGCUAAUAGAUGAGCCUAAGUCGGAUUAGCUAGUUGGUGGGGUAAAGGCCUACCAAGGCGACGAUCUGUAGCGGGUCUGAGAGGAUGAUCCGCCACACUGGGACUGAGACACGGCCCAGACUCCUACGGGAGGCAGCAGUGGGGAAUAUUGGACAAUGGGGGGAACCCUGAUCCAGCCAUGCCGCGUGUGUGAAGAAGGCCUUAUGGUUGUAAAGCACUUUAAGCGAGGAGGAGGCUACUUUAGUUAAUACCUAGAGAUAGUGGACGUUACUCGCAGAAUAAGCACCGGCUAACUCUGUGCCAGCAGCCGCGGUAAUACAGAGGGUGCGAGCGUUAAUCGGAUUUACUGGGCGUAAAGCGUGCGUAGGCGGCUUAUUAAGUCGGAUGUGAAAUCCCCGAGCUUAACUUGGGAAUUGCAUUCGAUACUGGUGAGCUAGAGUAUGGGAGAGGAUGGUAGAAUUCCAGGUGUAGCGGUGAAAUGCGUAGAGAUCUGGAGGAAUACCGAUGGCGAAGGCAGCCAUCUGGCCUAAUACUGACGCUGAGGUACGAAAGCAUGGGGAGCAAACAGGAUUAGAUACCCUGGUAGUCCAUGCCGUAAACGAUGUCUACUAGCCGUUGGGGCCUUUGAGGCUUUAGUGGCGCAGCUAACGCGAUAAGUAGACCGCCUGGGGAGUACGGUCGCAAGACUAAAACUCAAAUGAAUUGACGGGGGCCCGCACAAGCGGUGGAGCAUGUGGUUUAAUUCGAUGCAACGCGAAGAACCUUACCUGGCCUUGACAUACUAGAAACUUUCCAGAGAUGGAUUGGUGCCUUCGGGAAUCUAGAUACAGGUGCUGCAUGGCUGUCGUCAGCUCGUGUCGUGAGAUGUUGGGUUAAGUCCCGCAACGAGCGCAACCCUUUUCCUUACUUGCCAGCAUUUC
Molecule: ribosomal RNA, 1125 nt
Filed under: Acinetobacter baumannii 34654
Lineage: Bacteria; Pseudomonadati; Pseudomonadota; Gammaproteobacteria; Moraxellales; Moraxellaceae
Also listed under: 1 other name
Description: bacterial SSU rRNA
Rfam family: Bacterial small subunit ribosomal RNA
Source: RNAcentral